RNAcentral lists this long non-coding RNA (4241 nucleotides) under Triticum aestivum (bread wheat). RNAcentral's name for it is "long non-coding RNA (TAES_LNC007283)". Lineage: Eukaryota; Viridiplantae; Streptophyta; Magnoliopsida; Poales; Poaceae. The record is from RNAcentral.
UUCAACAUGUAUUUGAGAAAAAUGUUCAACCCAUAAAUGGAAAUACUCAAUGUGUAUGUGAAAACUGAUCAUCAUGUAUAUGAAAAAUGUUCUAUGUGCAUUUGAAAAAUGUUUGCGUGUAUUUCAGAAAUGAAGGAAAAAAUGAAAGGAAAGGAAGACAAUAAUAAAUAAAUGAGCACAAAAAAAAAGGAGAAAAUCGAAAGGAAAAAAAUCGAUAUAGAAAACACGUAGAAAAGAACACGCGAAAUUUUAGAUAGUCCAAACCGGUCCAUAGCUUUCUAAAACCGCUCCCACAAAAACCACAGAACACACCUGGGUCGUCAUGCUAGCGGUGCUAAGGGCGAGACAAGAUGAGCUACCGCCUCGUAAAGAGUGAGAUAUAGCUAUCGUGUUGUUUGGUACACAUGGGAUUGGGACCAGGGAUGGAGCUUAGUUGAAACAAAAGUGAGCGGUGGUCUGCCUAGCCUUGGGCCAAAUCAUUGAAUAAGGUGAAACUGGGUUCGAGAAGCUAAACUCGUGUGUUUUUCUUCAAUCUGGCCCGCCCAAUAAUAUUUUGGUACCUCCACCACUGCUUUGCGAGGGCUUUCAUGGGAUUUUCCCUGUUGGGCUGAAAAGCCCAAAAAUACCCAGAGUGACGUUUUGGACACAUGGUUUGAUAGGAUCUGCCUCGUUCUAUCUCGUGAAUUCCCUCCAUCGAGGUGGACCGGGCAGCUUCGACCUUCCUUCGACCGAGGUAGAUCUGAGACGAUGCACACUACUGCAAAGUAAAAGUGCAUUUAGUCCCUGGUGGUAUUUUAAUGUGAUGACAAUGUGGUUAGUGAGAAUCUAACAGUUAACAAAUGGUUUGCAUGUUUCAAAAACAAGCUCAUGGCAUUUACGCAUAAUGUUCAAUGUGUGUUAAAAAUAUUCAUCGUGUAUCAAAAAAUGUUCAACAUGUAUUUGAGAAAAAUGUUCAACCCAUAAAUGGAAAUACUCAAUGUGUAUGUGAAAACUGAUCAUCAUGUAUAUGAAAAAUGUUCUAUGUGCAUUUGAAAAAUGUUUGCGUGUAUUUCAGAAAUGAAGGAAAAAAUGAAAGGAAAGGAAGACAAUAAUAAAUAAAUGAGCACAAAAAAAAGGAGAAAAUUGAAAGGAAAAAAAUCGAUAUAGAAAACACGUAGAAAAGAACACGCGAAAUUUUAGAUAGUCCAAACCGGUCCAUAGCUUUCUAAAACCGCUCCCACAAAAACCACAGAACACACAUGGGUCGUCAUGCUAGCGGCGCUAGGGGCGAGACAAGAUGAGCUACCGCCUCGUAAAGAGUGAGAUAUAGCUAUCGUGUUGUUUGGUACACAUGGGAUUGGGACCAGGGAUGGAGCUUAGUUGAAACAAAAGUGAGCGGUGGUCUGCCUAGCCUUGGGCCAAAUCAUUGAAUAAGGUGAAACUGGGUUCGGGAAGCUAAACUCGUGUGUUUUUCUUCAAUCUGGCCCGCCCAAUAAUAUUUUGGUACCUCCACCACUGCUUUGCGAGGGCUUUCAUGGGAUUUUCCCUGCUGGGCUGAAAAGUCCAAAAAUACCCAGAGUGACGUUUUGGACACAUGGUUUGAUAGGAUCUGCCUCGUUCUAUCUCGUGAAUUCCCUCCAUCGAGGUGGACCGGGCAGCUUCGACCUUCCUUCGACCGAGGUAGAUCUGAGACGAUGCACGCUACUGCCAAGUAAAAGUGCAUUUAGUCCCUGGUGGUAUUUUAAUGUGAUGACAAUGUGGUUAGUGAGAAUCUAACAGUUAACAAAUGGUUUGCAUGUUUAAAAAACAUGUUCAUGGCAUUUACGCAUAAUGUUCAAUGUGUGUUAAAAAUAUUCAUCGUGUAUCAAAAAAUGUUCAACAUGUAUUUGAGAAAAAUGUUCAACCCAUAAAUGGAAAUACUCAAUGUGUAUGUGAAAACUGAUCAUCAUGUAUAUGAAAAAUGUUCUACGUGCAUUUGAAAAAUGUUUGCGUGUAUUUCAGAAAUGAAGGAAAAAAUGAAAGGAAAGGAAGACAAUAAUAAAUAAAUGAGCACAAAAAAAAGGAGAAAAUUGAAAGGAAAAAAAUCGAUAUAGAAAACACGUAGAAAAGAACACGCGAAAUUUUAGAUAGUCCAAACCGGCCCAUAGCUUUCUAAAACCGCUCCCACAAAAACCACAGAACACACCUGGGUCGUCAUGCUAGCGGCGCUAGGGGCGAGACAAGAUGAGCUACCGCCUCGUAAAGAGUGAGAUAUAGCUAUCGUGUUGUUUGGUACACAUGGGAUUGGGACCAGGGAUGGAGCUUAGUUGAAACAAAAGUGGGCGGUGGUCUGCCUAGCCUUGGGCCAAAUCAUUGAAUAAGGUGAAACUGGGUUCGGGAAGCUAAACUCGUGUGUUUUUCUUCAAUCUGGCCCGCCCAAUAAUAUUUUGGUACCUCCACCACUGCUUGCGAGGGCUUUCAUGGGAUUUUCCCUGUUGGGCUGAAAAGCCCAAAAAUACCCAGAGUGACGUUUUGGACACAUGGUUUGAUAGGAUGCCUCGUUCUAUCUCAUGAAUUCCCUCCAUCGAGGUGGACCGGGCAGCUUCGGCCUUCCUUCGACCGAGGUAGAUCUGAGACGAUGCACGCUACUGCCAAGUAAAAGUGCAUUUAGUCCCUGGUGGUAUUUUAAUGUGAUGACAAUGUGGUUAAUGAGAAUCUAGCAGUUAACAAAUGGUUUGCAUGUUUAAAAAACAUGUUCAUGGCAUUUACGCAUAAUGUUCAAUGUGUGUUAAAAAUAUUCAUCGUGUAUCAAAAAAUGUUCAACAUGUAUUUGAGAAAAAUGUUCAACCCAUAAUUGGAAAUACUCAAUGUGUAUGUGAAAACUGAUCAUCAUGUAUAUGAAAAAUGUUCUAUGUGCAUUUGAAAAAUGUUUGCGUGUAUUUCAGAAAUGAAGGAAAAAAUGAAAGGAAAGGAAGACAAUAAUAAAUAAAUGAGCACAAAAAAAGGAGAAAAUCGAAAGGAAAAAAUCGAUAUAGAAAACACGUAGAAAAGAACACGCGAAAUUUCAGAUAGUCCAAACCGGUUCAUAGCUUUCUAAAACCGCUCCCACAAAAACCACAGAACACACCUGGGUCGGCAUGCUAGCGGCGCUAGGGGCGAGACGAGAUGAGCUACCGCCUCGUAAAGAGUGAGAUAUAGCUCUCCUGUUGUUUGGUACACAUGGGAUUGGGAGCAGGGAUGGAGCUUAGUUGAAACAAAAGUGGGCGGUGGUCUGCCUAGCCUUGGGCCAAAUCAUUGAAUAAGGUGAAACUGGGUCUGGGAAGCUAAACUCGUGUGUUUUUCUUCAAUCUGGCCCGCCCAAUAAUAUUUUGGUACCUCCACCACUGCUUGUGAGGGCUUUCAUUGGAUUUCCCCUGUUGGGCUGAAAAGCCCAAAAAUACCCAGAGUGACGUUUUGGACACAUGGUUUGAUAGGAUCUGCCUUGUUCUAUCUCGUGAAUUCCCUCCAUCGAGGUGGACCGGGCAGCUUCGACCUUUCCUUCGACCGAGGUAGAUCCGAGACGAUGCACGCUACUACCAAGUAAAAGUGCAUUUAGUCCCUGGUGGUAUUUUAAUGUGAUGACAACGUGGUUAGUGAGACUAAUGAUAGUUAUUAAGUUUAAUUAUGUCAGUUCAUUGGUCUCUCGAGGAUUAUCUUAUGGAGAGGUUGACCCCACCCCCCUCCCCCCUUAAAAAGGAAAAAGGCGUGGUUAUUUGAAGACUCAAGAGUUUUCAUUUUUGUUUUCUAUAGUCAUAAUAAGACAACCGGAUUAUUCAGAGGGGUCUGAGGUGCUUGGGUAAGGAGUGAGAUCGUGCAAAACAUACACACUAUCCAUCAUAUACCUACCAUUGUUUCAAGCCCUAAAUCGCACCUCCUUAGUGCCAUUGGUCUGUCUAUCGCGUGUCUACGUACUGAUGGUUCUUUGUGCAGAGGCUAGUAUUCUGUUAUCUUUUAAUUUUCGUGAAGUUGGUGUCUAUGUGGUUAGUAACUUGUCUUUUUAUUUUAUGAAUGAGAAAUGUAUUCCCGUGCAAAAAAAAGUACGUUAUGUAGAUCUUUACGACUACGAAGAUCUAAUAGUUGUGAUAUGUUUAAUUAAUAUCGAUCAUCGGGUGAAGUGCCGGAUGCCUUACUUUUCCUUUGAUUCUUUAGCCCAAAAGGUUUCUUCGUAUUAGGAAUUUAGUACUAGUACAUUGGAUGGGAAUAUCUGAAGUUUCUUUUUGCGUCACAGUAUUCAAUCCAUGCAU